RNAcentral lists this ribosomal RNA (496 nucleotides) under uncultured bacterium. Its description in RNAcentral is "partial 16S ribosomal RNA". It matches the Rfam family "Bacterial small subunit ribosomal RNA", at positions 29 to 507 of the family's 1533-position model. The record is from RNAcentral.
AUGAACGCUGGCGGCGUGCCUAAUACAUGCAAGUCGAGCGAACGGACGAGAAGCUUGCUUCUCUGAUGUUAGCGGCGGACGGGUGAGUAACACGUGGAUAACCUACCUAUAAGACUGGGAUAACUUCGGGAAACCGGAGCUAAUACCGGAUAAUAUUUUGAACCGCAUGGUUCAAAAGUGAAAGACGGUCUCGCUGUCACUUAUAGAUGGAUCCGCGCUGCAUUAGCUAGUUGGUAAGGUAACGGCUUACCAAGGCAACGAUGCAUAGCCGACCUGAGAGGGUGAUCGGCCACACUGGAACUGAGACACGGUCCAGACUCCUACGGGAGGCAGCAGUAGGGAAUCUUCCGCAAUGGGCGAAAGCCUGACGGAGCAACGCCGCGUGAGUGAUGAAGGUCUUCGGAUCGUAAAACUCUGUUAUUAGGGAAGAACAUAUGUGUAAGUAACUGUGCACAUCUUGACGGUACCUAAUCAGAAAGCCACGGCUAACUACGUG